Molecule: transfer RNA, 84 nt
Filed under: bacterium
Lineage: Bacteria
Also listed under: 1 other name
Description: tRNA-Leu
Rfam family: tRNA
About the family: Transfer RNA (tRNA) molecules are approximately 80 nucleotides in length. Their secondary structure includes four short double-helical elements and three loops (D, anti-codon, and T loops).
Source: RNAcentral
GCGGGUGUGGCGGAAUUGGCAGACGCGCUAGACUUAGGAUCUAGUGUCUUCGAUGUGCAGGUUCAAGUCCUGUCACCCGCACCA